This 253-nucleotide ribosomal RNA is filed under the name uncultured bacterium. RNAcentral describes it as "partial 16S ribosomal RNA". It matches the Rfam family "Bacterial small subunit ribosomal RNA", at positions 524 to 776 of the family's 1533-position model. The record is from RNAcentral.
UACGUAGGCAGCAAGCGUUGUUCGGAGUUACUGGGCGUAAAGGGUGUGUAGGCGGUUUUCUAAGUCUGGUGUGAAAUCUCCCGGCUCAACUGGGAGGGUGCGCCGAAAACUGGAAGGCUAGAGUGCGGGAUGGGAGAGUGGAAUUCCUGGUGUAGCGGUGAAAUGCGUAGAUAUCAGGAGGAACACCUGUGGUGUAGACGGCUCUCUGGACCGCAACUGACGCUGAGACACGAGAGCGUGGGUAGCAAACAGG